CCCUCAUCAGCACAGCCCACAUGUACUCAAAGACCGUCAAAGGAAGAAGGAAAGUAAUAAACUGUUUAAUGUAAUUAAUAAGAAUGAAUGAAUAAUUAUUUUUUCCUUCUAAUGAGACAGAUAUCCGUGCUAUUUACAAGAGGUAUUUGAUCCAGGAAAUAGAAGUCCGAAAAGCAGACCUCGAAUAUUGACAACUGAAAAUAAAAAAAACUGAAGCUUGAAAUUAAAAAAUUGGAGAGAGAUGAUAUGAAAGAUUAAAUAAAAAUGAAGAAAUUUCUCUAAUUGUAUAAAAAUAAAUGAAAUUUGCAACAGAAUCAACCAAAAUAUGUGUUUGCGUACACAUCUCUCACAGCUCUACCGUCCAUGUGGUCUUCCACUGCUAGUGUAGAGGUAUGAAUCCAGAUGAUACAUGUCUAUGUCUAUUAUUAUUGGUUAUUGUUUAUUAAGUACAUGAGUAUUCUAACAUAACUUUAAGUUUGUAUAAAAUGGAAUGAUGCUUAUGUAAUUACGUAGACCUGUAUAUACAGGCGGGUGACGCUAGAGGGAGCGACUGCGAGUUUCAUCCAUUGAUGAAAUCGUCGCACUGCCAAUCUUGUUAAACAUGGGGAAAUCUGUUUUAAUUUCUUAUCGUGUUUAUUCCAAUUUACAGGUAAGAGAAGUAAUGUGGCAUCGUGGGUUACGUCUAUUAAAUGCUUGUCGUGUAUUUUAUAUGUUUGGUUGCGGCACGCGGGUGAUAUCUAAUCGCAUUAGCGCAGUCAUGGUUGGAAUGCGGCCAGUUAGCUCGCGCCAUGUGGUAGCAGAACAGAGAUGGUGGAUGUCGUUCGACACGGUAAUGUGCUCGAUAUUAUUUGUGGAGCGAACCGAGUAAUGGAUUAUCAUUUCAUUUGUGUUUCGUGAUAUUUUGUCAUUGUUUGUUAAAUAGUAUAAUGUUGGUUAAGAAAGUUUAUGGUUUAGAGAGGGCGAUAGAAAGGAAACGUUAUAUAUUGUUAUACGGUUAAUGUAUGUUAGCACUAUGUUAUUACGUGUAGGCGGAUGAUUGGAAUGUUAAUGUGAGCUGCAGAAUUUAAGACGAUACCGUAUAAUCGCGUUUCAAUUAGUGUGUAUGUAGAUGACCCUAUGUGUUGUGAGUUAACGCGACUGCGAGUUUCAUCCAUUGAUGAAAUCGUCGCACUGCCAGUCGUGUUAAACACGGGGAAAUCUGUUCUAAUUUCUUAUCGUGUUUAUUCCAAUUUACAGUGUGACUAAUAAAAAGAACUUAUGAGUGCCA
Paramormyrops kingsleyae is the source of this 1267-nucleotide non-coding RNA. The record is from RefSeq and is a predicted model, not a curated record. Lineage: Eukaryota; Metazoa; Chordata; Actinopteri; Osteoglossiformes; Mormyridae.